RNAcentral lists this long non-coding RNA (1455 nucleotides) under Panax ginseng (ginseng). RNAcentral describes it as "long non-coding RNA (PGIN_LNC003530)". Lineage: Eukaryota; Viridiplantae; Streptophyta; Magnoliopsida; Apiales; Araliaceae. The record is from RNAcentral.
UGCUUUUAUAUCCAAAUAAUAGUAAUCACUUAACAUGACACUCAUAUAUCAUGUACAAAAUUUUACUACACUCACAGACGCACUGUUGUGUCAUACACACAAUCGCGCUGCUGUUUCACUCCUGUGGUGUGAACUUUUUGUUGUGUUGCUAAAUUGAGAGUAUAAUAAAAAAAAAUAGAGAAAACAAGAAAGGGGGCAUACCCCGCUAAACUGCAAUAUCAGGCACAUCAAAAAUAGGCCAAUGAUGCAAGUGCUAUAACCAAAAAGGCUAUAACUGCCAGACCCUAAUAUAAGGGUAUUUGUCUAAAUAUUUACUAAAUUUCUUGACAUUGUACAUCUUACAUUUAAUAAUCUUAAUACAAUCUUGAGCAAUUAUAGAAGCGACAGUAGGAUGUUCUUCAUGAAGUCUUCGAUUUCGUUCAUUCCAUAAUUUGUAGACCAUCGUAGCCAAACAGAGUUUAAUGAUGCGGGAUGACAUCCAAUUAAUCCUAGUAAACUGAAUAUGGCUCACAAGCUGCUCCCAAGAGAAAGGAAUUCCGAACCAGCCACGAUGAGCCAAAACAGUUUUUAAAGGUAAGAAUUUUAACUAAAUCCCUACUUUUACCACAUAGUUAAGCUAUCCCCAUCAGUUUGUCUGAUAACUGUAACAUUCAUGUUCCCACAUCAGAACACGUGGGUCAAUUUAUAAGCACAACAAAGCAUAAAGCGAAUUGAAACUACACGAAGCUAUAGCAAGUAUAGAUAAAAUUAAAUAAUAUAAAUGGUCUUUUAAGUCGAAAUUAUCACAAUUUUAGUGGGUUCCAAAGUAAAAUUAGUAAACAUGGUCCAACCCAAUAUAUGAACAACAAAGCAUAAAGCGAAUUGAAACUACACGAAGCACUAGCAAAGCAAUUUAUCAAUUAGAGUAAAAAACCCAAUAUAAAAAAAAUUAAAUAAAAUGGUGUUUUAAGCCAAAAUUAACAUAAUUUUAGUGGGUUCCAAAGUACUAAAAAAAUUAAGCAUGGUCCAACAAUAUUGGCCACUAAUGGAAGGCAAUUUAAUCAAAUUAUAAGAACAACAAGGCAUUAACCAAAUUGAAACUACAAGAAGAAACCCAUGAACUUAAAAUAAAAUAAAGCAUAGAAUGACAAACCUGUAUGAAGCUGAAUUUUAACUAUCCCCUCAUUGCUUCUCAAACUUAAAAAGAAGGAGAUAUAAGAAUGAAAUUGUAUAAAAAGGCUAAUUAUAAUCAAAUGGGUUGAAUUUUCCGAUAAAGAGCGACGACUGAGACUCUUGACUUGAGAGAAAACGAAGUUUCGGAGUUUUCAGGAAGGGGAGAGAGAGAGAGGGUUUAAUGGUAAUAAAUAUUAUGGUUGAAGAAUUUGGUUAGCUUUGUAAAGAGGUAGCAAACACUCCACUGGAAAAAGCCUUGCAGCUGCGGAGUGUCUUAACUAAUUUUGUCUAUAUGUGUGAAAU